This 86-nucleotide transfer RNA is filed under the name Kiritimatiellia bacterium. RNAcentral's name for it is "tRNA-Thr". It matches the Rfam family "tRNA". Rfam says of the family: Transfer RNA (tRNA) molecules are approximately 80 nucleotides in length. Their secondary structure includes four short double-helical elements and three loops (D, anti-codon, and T loops). The record is from RNAcentral. Lineage: Bacteria; Pseudomonadati; Kiritimatiellota; Kiritimatiellia.
GCCGGGAUGGUACAGUGGUCGACUACGCCUGAUUUGUAAUCAGGAUUCGCAAGAACACGGGGGUUCGAAUCCCUCUCCCGGCUCCA